UAUUUAAAAAUUUAAAUUUAAAUUUUAAAAUUUUAAAAUUUAAAAGUUAUUUAUUUAAAUUUAAAAAUUUAAAUAUAAAAUAUAAAAUUUUAAAUUUAAAUAAAAUAUAAGGGGCAUUGUUAUUAUUUUCUAUUUAUAACUAUUAAACAUUUUUCUUAUUCCGUCUUAUCUUUGUAAAUGUUUUUUUUUUUUUUUUUUUCGAGAUAGAUUCAAUUUCCAUCCAAACGUAAAAUUGAUGUAUUUCAGACUUAUAUCUAAACUUAUACAUAUUUCUGAAAUAGCCAGUUCUUACUUAUAUCCGAACUAAACGAAGUCUUAUUGUUUAUUUAACAUUGAGCACCAA
This 343-nucleotide long non-coding RNA is filed under the name Ananas comosus (pineapple). RNAcentral's name for it is "long non-coding RNA (ACOM_LNC009795)". Lineage: Eukaryota; Viridiplantae; Streptophyta; Magnoliopsida; Poales; Bromeliaceae. The record is from RNAcentral.